Molecule: long non-coding RNA, 549 nt
Filed under: Mus musculus (house mouse)
Lineage: Eukaryota; Metazoa; Chordata; Mammalia; Rodentia; Muridae
Description: long non-coding RNA chr11:14599313-14599862
Source: RNAcentral
UCACCUCAGAGAUCGCUGUCUGCCCCCAGGCACCGAAGGUCUAGGCCUUGGCCUGAGUGGGUUCCGCACAGCCAUGGACCCAACGUUCCUGCUCACCUCCGCACGCCCCAGAGAGUGGUGGGAACCUGGAGGCGCUCUGCCAUCAGACCUCCCACAGGUGUCACCCUGGGCCUGGAUCUCUCCAGUGCCUGGGACACCUAUAUGAAACGAUGGAUUUGGAGUGUACGGAACCCUGGGUGGACCUGCAGCCCGGUGACAGUCAAGAUUGCCCCUCCUGAGGGCAGAGGUAGUCCCCUGGCUUCUCUAGAACAGGGAGCACGCAUUGCAGAGCAUCCAGAGGAGCUUCCAGACCCUUGUGCCAAGGAGACAGUGCUGAGAGCUCUCAGCCAGUGCAAGAAGGGGACUAGACGAUUUGAUGGACCUCUGUGGUUUGAAGUCCCAGAGGUGAAAAAUAGAAGACAGAACCCAGAACCUAAGCGUUCUUCAGCCUUUAAACCCUGGAUAAAAAAUGGAGUGGCUGUUUCUUUUGUUCCCAAGCCUGGGCCUCUG